RNAcentral lists this ribosomal RNA (458 nucleotides) under uncultured Rhodocyclaceae bacterium. RNAcentral describes it as "bacterial SSU rRNA". It matches the Rfam family "Bacterial small subunit ribosomal RNA", at positions 924 to 1382 of the family's 1533-position model. Lineage: Bacteria; Pseudomonadati; Pseudomonadota; Betaproteobacteria; Rhodocyclales; Rhodocyclaceae. The record is from RNAcentral.
CACAAGCGGUGGAGCAUGUGGUUAAUUCGACGCAACGCGAAGAACCUUACCAGGGCUUGACAUCCCCUGACCGCGUAUGAAGUACGUUUUCACCCUCGGGUGACAGGGACACAGAUGCUGCAUGGCUGUCGUCAGCUCGUGUCGUGAGAUGUUGGGUUAAGUCCCGCAACGAGCGCAACCCUUGUCAUUAGUUGCCAUCAUUUGGUUGGGCACUCUAAUGAGACUGCCGGUGACAAACCGGAGGAAGGUGGGGAUGACGUCGAGUCCUCAUGGCCCUUAUGGGUAGGGCUUCACACGUCAUACAAUGGUCGGUACAGAGGGUUGCCAACCCGCGAGGGGGGAGCUAAUCCCACAAAGCCGAUCGUAGUCCGGAUCGCAGUCUGCAACUCGACUGCGUGAAGUCGGAAUCGCUAGUAAUCGUGGAUCAGCAUGUCACGGUGAAUACGUUCCCGGGUCUU